This 834-nucleotide ribosomal RNA is filed under the name uncultured archaeon. RNAcentral describes it as "bacterial SSU rRNA". It matches the Rfam family "Archaeal small subunit ribosomal RNA", at positions 21 to 859 of the family's 1478-position model. The record is from RNAcentral.
GGUUACUGCUAUCGGUGUUCGCCUAAGCCAUGCGAGUAUGUUCGUAAGAACAUGGCGUACUGCUCAGUAACACGUGGAUAACCUGCCCUUGGGUCCGGCAUAACCCCGGGAAACUGGGGAUAAUUCCGGAUAACGCACAUAUGCCGGAAUGCUUUUUGCGUAAAAUGGAUUCGUCUGCCCAAGGAUGGGUCUGCGGCCUAUCAGGUAGUAGUGGGUGUAAUGUACCUACUAGCCUACGACGGGUACGGGUUGUGAGAGCAAGAGCCCGGAGAUGGAUUCUGAGACAUGAAUCCAGGCCCUACGGGGCGCAGCAGGCGCGAAAACUUUACAAUGCGGGAAACCGUGAUAAGGGGACACCGAGUGCCAGCAUCCUAUGCUGGCUGUCCGGGUGUGUAAAAUACACCUGUUAGCAAGGGCCGGGCAAGACCGGUGCCAGCCGCCGCGGUAACACCGGCGGCCCGAGUGGUGAUCGUGAUUAUUGGGUCUAAAGGGUCCGUAGCCGGUUUGGUCAGUCCUCCGGGAAAUCUGACAGCUCAACUGUUAGGCUAUCGGAGGAUACUGCCAGACUUGGAACCGGGAGAGGUAAGAGGUACUACAGGGGUAGGAGUGAAAUCUUGUAAUCCCUGUGGGACCACCUGUGGCGAAGGCGUCUUACCAGAACGGGUUCGACGGUGAGGGACGAAAGCUGGGGGCGCGAACCGGAUUAGAUACCCGGGUAGUCCCAGCCGUAAACGGUGCUCGCUAGGUGUCACGCAUGGCGCGACCGUGUCUGGUGCCGCAGGGAAGCCGUGAAGCGAGCCACCUGGGAAGUACGGCCGCAAGGCUGAAACUUAA